Molecule: ribosomal RNA, 426 nt
Filed under: uncultured bacterium
Lineage: Bacteria
Description: bacterial SSU rRNA
Rfam family: Bacterial small subunit ribosomal RNA
Source: RNAcentral
GGGCCCGCACAAGCGGUGGAGUAUGUGGUUUAAUUCGAUGCAACGCGAAGAACCUUACCAGGGUUUGACAUCCUGCGAAUCUCUUGGAAACGAGAGAGUGCCUUCGGGAACGCAGUGACAGGUGGUGCAUGGCUGUCGUCAGCUCGUGUCGUGAGAUGUUGGGUUAAGUCCCGCAACGAGCGCAACCCACGUCUUUAGUUGCUACCAUUUAGUUGAGCACUCUAGCAAGACUGCCGUGGUUAACGCGGAGGAAGGUGGGGAUGACGUCAAAUCAUCAUGCCCCUUAUGUCUAGGGCUACACACGUGCUACAAUGGCGAGUACAAAGAGACGCAAAGCCGCGAGGUGGAGCAAAACUUAUAAAACUCGUCUCAGUUCGGAUUGCAGGCUGAAACUCGCCUGCAUGAAGCUGGAGUUGCUAGUAAUCG